UACGUAGGGGGCUAGCGUUGCUCGGAAUCACUGGGCGUAAAGGGUGCGUAGGCGGGUUUUUAAGUCAGGGGGGAAAUCCUGGAGCUCAACUCCAGAACUGCCUUUGAAACUAGAUUGCUAGAAUCCUGGAGAGGUUAGUGGAAUUCCGAGUGUAGAGGUGAAAUUCGUAGAUAUUCGGAAGAACACCAGUGGCGAAGGCGACUAACUGGACAGGUAUUGACGCUGAGGUGCGAAAGCGUGGGGAGCAAACAGG
Molecule: ribosomal RNA, 253 nt
Filed under: uncultured bacterium
Lineage: Bacteria
Description: partial 16S ribosomal RNA
Rfam family: Bacterial small subunit ribosomal RNA
Source: RNAcentral